AGAGUUUGAUCCUGGCUCAGAACGUACGCUGGCGGCACGCCUAACACAUGCAAGUCGAACGAAGUAGCAAUACUUAGUGGCAGACGGGUGAGUAACAUGUAGGUAUCUGCCCUUUGGCCUGGAAUAACACGAGGAAACUUGUGCUAAUACCGGAUAAGUCUUUACGGAGAAAGCUUUAUGCACCAAUGGAUGAGCCUGCAUUUGAUUAGUUUGUUGGUGGGGUAAUGGCCUACCAAGACUGUGAUCAAUAGCUGAUUUGAGAGGAUGAUCAGCCACAUUGGGACUGAGACACGGCCCAAACUCCUACGGGAGGCAGCAGUGGGGAAUCUUGCACAAUGGAGGAAACUCUGAUGCAGCGAUGCCGCGUGAGUGAAGAAGGCCUUUGGGUUGUAAAGCUCUUUCGUCGGGGAAGAAAAUGACUGUACCCGAAUAAGAAGGUCCGGCUAACUUCGUGCCAGCAGCCGCGGUAAUACGAAGGGACCUAGCGUAGUUCGGAAUUACUGGGCUUAAAGAGUUCGUAGGUGGUUGAAAAAGUUGGUGGUGAAAUCCCAGAGCUUAACUCUGGAACUGCCAUCAAAACUUUUCAGCUAGAGUUUGAUAGAGGAAAGCAGAAUUUCUAGUGUAGAGGUGAAAUUCGUAGAUAUUAGAAAGAAUACCAAUUGCGAAGGCAGCUUUCUGGAUCAUUACUGACACUGAGGAACGAAAGCAUGGGUAGCGAAGAGGAUUAGAUACCCUCGUAGUCCAUGCCGUAAACGAUGUGUGUUAGACGUUGGAAAUUUAUUUUCAGUGUCGCAGCGAAAGCGAUAAACACACCGCCUGGGGAGUACGACCGCAAGGUUAAAACUCAAAUGAAUUGACGGGGACCCGCACAAGUAGUGGAGCAUGUGGUUUAAUUCGAAGAUACGCGCAGAACCUUACCAACACUUGACAUGUUCGUCGCGACUUUAAGAGAUUAAAGUUUUCGGUUCGGCCGGACGAAACACAGGUGCUGCAUGGCUGUCGUCAGCUCGUGUCGUGAGAUGUUGGGUUAAGUCCCGCAACGAGCGCAACCCUCACUUUUAGUUGCCAUCAUUAAGUUGGGCACUCUGAAAGAACUGCCAGUGAUAAGCUGGAGGAAGGUGGGGAUGACGUCAAGUCCUCAUGGCCCUUACGUGUUGGGCUACACACGUGCUACAAUGGUAUCUACAACAGGAAGCAAGACUGCGAGGUCAAGCAAAUCCUCAAAAGAUACCUCAGUUCGGAUUGCACUCUGCAACUCGAGUGCAUGAAGCUGGAAUUACUAGUAAUCGUGGAUCAGCGUGCCACGGUGAAUGCGCUCCCGGGUCUUGUACACACCGCCCGU
RNAcentral lists this ribosomal RNA (1342 nucleotides) under uncultured Pelagibacterales bacterium. Its description in RNAcentral is "bacterial SSU rRNA". It matches the Rfam family "Bacterial small subunit ribosomal RNA". The record is from RNAcentral. Lineage: Bacteria; Pseudomonadati; Pseudomonadota; Alphaproteobacteria; Candidatus Pelagibacterales.